Molecule: ribosomal RNA, 492 nt
Filed under: uncultured bacterium
Lineage: Bacteria
Description: partial 16S ribosomal RNA
Rfam family: Bacterial small subunit ribosomal RNA
Source: RNAcentral
AUUGAACGCUGGCGGCAUGCUUUACACAUGCAAGUCGAACGGUAACACGCCGUCGGUUGCUGACGGUUGGCGGACGGGUGGGUAAGGCAUCGGAACGUGCCCAGAGGUGGGGGUUAACGCAGCGAAAGCUGUCCUAAUACCGCAUGUGAUCUGAGGUUGAAAUCGGGGGACCGGGCAGCAAUGUUUCGCCUCGCGCCUUUGGACUGGCCGAUGUCCGAUUAGUUAGUUGGUGGGGUAAAGGCCUACCAAGCCGACGAUCUGUAGCUGGUCUGAGAGGACGGCUAGCCACACUGGGAGUGAGACACGGCCCAGAGUGCUACGGGAGGCAGCAGUGGGGAAUCUGGGAGCAUGGGCGGAAGCCUGAUCACGCAAUGCCGCGUGCGGGAAGAAGGCCUUCGGGUUGUAAACCGCUUUUGUACGGAAGGAAAAGGCUUUGGCUAAUACCUGGGGGUGAUGACGGUACCGGAAGAAUAAGCAACGGCUAACUACGUG